This 84-nucleotide transfer RNA is filed under the name Candidatus Avelusimicrobium stercoris. RNAcentral's name for it is "tRNA-Leu". It matches the Rfam family "tRNA". From Rfam's summary of the family: Transfer RNA (tRNA) molecules are approximately 80 nucleotides in length. Their secondary structure includes four short double-helical elements and three loops (D, anti-codon, and T loops). Further hydrogen bonds mediate the characteristic L-shaped molecular structure. tRNAs have two regions of fundamental functional importance: the anti-codon, which is responsible for specific mRNA codon recognition, and the 3' end, to which the tRNAs corresponding amino acid is attached (by aminoacyl-tRNA synthetases). tRNAs cope with the degeneracy of the genetic code in two manners: having more than one tRNA (with a specific anti-codon) for a particular amino acid; and 'wobble' base-pairing, i.e. permitting non-standard base-pairing at the 3rd anti-codon position. The record is from RNAcentral. RNAcentral also lists the same sequence under 7 other names. Lineage: Bacteria; Pseudomonadati; Elusimicrobiota; Elusimicrobia; Elusimicrobiales; Elusimicrobiaceae.
GCCGGGGUGCUGGAAUUGGUAUACAGGAUAGUCUCAAAAACUAUUGCCCGCACGGGCUUAAGGGUUCAAGUCCCUUCCCCGGUA